AUCUUGUUCCCUUUACCCCCUCAAGCCUGGAGGUGCCAAGAGCUCCCUGCUGUUGUUAGUCUUUGUCAGCUUCCUUUAACUUUUUAAAAAUAGUCUCCUCAACAAACUCUUCUAAUUAACCACCUGCUUCCCUCCAAGACCCUGUCUGAUACACCAAGCUUCCUCAUCAGGAUUACUCAAGGAGCUCAGGGUUAACAACUUUCCCCACUAGAGUGAAGAUCAAGCUCUGAAGGGCCACCUGAGAGUGACCACUGAAGACAUUGCCCUAUGAGGAGUAGGAAGACCGGCCCUGAGCUAACAUCCAUGCCCAUCUUCCUCUACUCUAUACGUGGGACGCCUACCACAGCAUGGCUUUUGCCAAGUGGUGCCAUGUCCACACCCAGGAUCCGAACCGGUGAACCCCAGGCAGCCGAGAAUCAGAACGUGGAAACUUAACUGCUGGGCCACUGGGCUGGCCCCCCACACUGUCUUGAUUAUUGUAGUUUUAUAGUACAUCUUGAAGUCAGCUAGUGUCAAUCCUCCAACUUUGCUCUUUUUCAGUAUUGUGUUAGCUAUUCUGUGCUAGAGCUUUUUUUUAAGAGCAUUUUUUAAUAACCUGCCCAAAGAUCUUCUGACUCAGAAAUUGUAAUUCUGACCAAUAAUCGAUUAGGGAUCAGAUGUUUUCCAAUCCUAUGACAGCUGGAUUUAAUUUAUAGAAAUGAAUAGGAUGCAAUG
RNAcentral lists this long non-coding RNA (714 nucleotides) under Equus caballus (horse). RNAcentral describes it as "lncRNA (ENSECAG00000051865.1)". Lineage: Eukaryota; Metazoa; Chordata; Mammalia; Perissodactyla; Equidae. The record is from RNAcentral.